Molecule: microRNA precursor, 102 nt
Filed under: Marmota monax (woodchuck)
Lineage: Eukaryota; Metazoa; Chordata; Mammalia; Rodentia; Sciuridae
Source: RNAcentral
AGUAGAUUAUUGGGUCAUAUGAUAACUUUACUUUUUAACUCUUUGAGGAACUUCCAGACCAUUUUCCAAAGUGACUACACCAUUUUAAUUCCCAUUAGCAGG